This 462-nucleotide ribosomal RNA is filed under the name uncultured bacterium. RNAcentral's name for it is "partial 16S ribosomal RNA". It matches the Rfam family "Bacterial small subunit ribosomal RNA", at positions 28 to 507 of the family's 1533-position model. The record is from RNAcentral.
GACGAACGCUGGCGGCGUGCUUAACACAUGCAAGUCGAACGGUAAGGCCCUUCGGGGUACACGAGUGGCGAACGGGUGAGUAACACGUGGGUAAUCUGCCCUGCACUUCGGGAUAAGCCUGGGAAACUGGGUCUAAUACCGAAUAUUCAGUUCCUGCCGCAUGGUGGGGGUUGGAAAGUUUUUCGGUGCAGGAUGAGCCCGCGGCCUAUCAGCUUGUUGGUGGGGUAAUGGCCUACCAAGGCGACGACGGGUAGCCGGCCUGAGAGGGUGAUCGGCCACACUGGGACUGAGACACGGCCCAGACUCCUACGGGAGGCAGCAGUGGGGAAUAUUGCACAAUGGGCGAAAGCCUGAUGCAGCGACGCCGCGUGAGGGAUGACGGUCUUCGGAUUGUAAACCCCUUUCAGUAGGGACGAAGCGCAAGUGACGGUACCUGCAGAAGAAGCACCGGCCAACUACGUG